GCUUCUCCCCUUCCAGGUGGGUCAGACACUCUCCCCUGAGCCAGGGAUGUACCUGCAGAGCCAUGGGUGAGGUCCAGCUGGGAGAAUCCUCCUGUCUCAGGCCUCCAUCCCUCUGCUCUCAGGUCCCUGCACAGCUGCUGGAGCCCUGUCCAUCCUCAGGGGUGUGGGAUGUGCAUCCUGUGACUUGGAUUUUCACUGCUCUGAAAAUGGAGAAUAAACCGGUGCAAUCCAAGAGAAACAGGAAGGAAAGUGAUCUUUUUAAAGGAAAAAAGAAAGAAAGAGAUCUGAGCAGUCCCCAGGCUGUCCUCUUAUGCAUGAAAAAUCUGUAGCAUAGCAAAGCCUGGAGGGAUCUUAGAUCCUUUUGGGCAUCCAAGGGACACUGAAAAGCUGGGUGCUGCUGGAGGAAGAGCAUCUGGAGGGGCAGUGACACAUGGUCUGCAUGGAUGGGGUCCCAGCAACCUGGAUUUUGCUGUGCUCACUGCACAGCAAUAGCUCCCCUUGGCAAAACUGCUCAGGCUUGUGUGGAAAUGGAAGAAUGAAGUGGGAGUUCAUUUUUCCUCGCUUUCCCAACCAGGAGAUUCAUGAGGUGGCUGGAUCAGGAUGUCACCCAAAAAGCUCUGUGGAAAUGGGAGAGGGCUCCAGAGGUGCAAGACACAAGUUCAGGGGCAAAUGGAAAUGAGGGAUGAAGAACAUUUCCCCUUUAAGGUUUGGCUUAUCCUGGCAGAGACUGGAGGUAACUUUUGUUUUUCCCAGGCACCUUUGAUUUUUUUUUUUUAAUUUUAUGUUUUAAAGCAAUCCCAAGCUGGCAAAGCGGGAAGGUGAAUUUGCUGGAAAAUUGCAAUGCCUCCCCAAAAUUCAAUAGCUGCCCCAGGGUGCUUGGCUUGUGAGCAUGGCCAGGGAAACAAAUGCCACCUGCAGAGCUCCAGCUCUUUGUUAGAGGGCAGGGAAAAGAGGAGGAGAGCAGUGCAGCGAUGUUAAUUUGUUGUCUCAGGGAAUAAGUGUCCGUCCCUUGGAGCUGCAGGGAGGGCUCUCAGUUUUUUGCAGGCUCCUGAUGAUGUGAGCUGUUGGAAAACUUGUGUCUGAGGGAGCUUAGGAGGCUUCCUGCUGGUGGCCAGUGCCUGCUGGAGAGGAAAACCCAACAGGAGCAGUGGGAGGCUCUGAGGGUGCUGCUGCUGACCUCUGGUCCUGAGCCCUCAUUGUCACUCAAAGGCAAAUCCCACUUCCAAAGCCAUCCCAGCAGGCUCAGUGCUGUUUGUGAGGCUCUCCCUGUGGCAUCCAGAGCAGCAUCUCAAAGGGGAGAGUGCAGGAAUGAAUCUGGCAUCUCUGCUGCUGCUGCUGCUGCAUGUAAGCAAGUUGUUCUAAUGCACUUAUCUCUUGUUUCUCUAAAGGUUAUAGAAGUAAAUAAUCUUGCUUUAACACAGUGUCCUUGCAGUCCCUGCCUAGCUCCAUGGAUAACUCUUCCUAAGGCUGCCUUGUGGUGAUUAAUACCCUACAGAGGGGAAUUAUUUUUUUAUUUAAAAGGAAGCAAAGAAGUAAAGCUUGAAGAUGCUUCAUGCCCCCUGUGCUUGAGGCUGACUAGUUUUAGCUUCUUCCUCCAGCUUGAGGGAACUGGUGCAAUGUGUUCCCUGCUGCCCUGUGAUGUUUAUCCCUGUGGACCAGGUAAGCAGCACCAAGCUUCUUUCUGUGGGCUGGAGAGGGAAUGUGAGCUGGGCAGGAGAGGCUGGAGUGUCUCACCCCUCCCUCCCUGGCACUUGUGCUGUGCUGAGCUCACGCUGAUGCUGCUCCUGUCUCUGUAAUGGGUUUUUUAGCACUCUUCAGAGACCUGGGUACUGCCCUGGCCUACUGCCAAGGACUGGCAGACCACUGGGAAGCAGGCUGGUACUGCCCAGGGUUUCCCUGAACAGUGUGGCAGGGCACCAAGUACACAUAACCCAGCAGCCAGGCUUGCAGCUGUUUGAAACACUGAGAUUAAUGAAAACUGCCCCUUUGCCCUGAAUAUUCUCAGUAUUGCACCCCUCUCCAUCCAUCCAUCCAUCCAUCCAUCCAUCCAUCCAUCCAUCCAUCAUCCAUCCAUCCAUCCAUCCAUCCAUCCAUCCAUCCAUCCAUCAUCCAUCCAUACAUCCAUCUUGUCUGGGAUUACAGUUCUGCAUUCUCUCCUUUUCCAGAAACCUUUUGUCUCUGUGGAGCACAAAUGUUGCCCUGAGCCAUCCAGCUCUAUGUGCUCCCCACAGACGUGGCUUCUCCAAAACUUUCCACUUAGUGGUCAAACCUCUUUUGACUUUUGAAAGCUUUGGCUUGGGAGGGAAAUUCUUCUACUGCAGGAAGGGAUACUGCAAAAUAAAUCCCACCACGGGCAAGGGAGAGGCAUCUAAUCUUCCUGCUCCCUAGAUUUAGCUGUGCCAUUAGCCUGGACCCUGCACAUGAAGCUAAUUUUAUAAUUUGUAAACGUAGCUGAGUGGGUUUAUAGAGGAAUGUCGGGAAGUGAUGAAAUACCUUCAAUAGAUUUAUAAAGAAGUUCAAUGCAUAAAGCUCUCUCCCCCCCUUCUGCCCCCCUCCUUCUGUCUUGGAGUUGCACACAACAGAAAACAUGGCCAUGGGAAGGGCUUUGUGGCCAGCACUCAAGCCUUUAAUUUUGCUUUUACAAGACAGUUUUAUAACAUCAAGAAGAAUGGAAAAGCUGCAAGGCAUGCACACUCAAGAUGCUGUGCUCCUGGAAAGUUCUGGACGGGCUCCAGGCAAUGUUUGGUGGCAAAGAAAGAUGAAGGUCUUGGAAAGAAGAGGAAAUAAUCAGCCAAGCCCUCAUCCUUCAAUAUUCCUGUUUCUGUGAGCUGGGAAUACCAUUGGAGCAUGGGAAGGACAGAAAAAAUUCAUUCCUGCAACAUCCUGUGUCUGAGGGGUGCCCCAGUGAUAACCUGGAUAAUACAAUCUGAUUUUGGCCUUGAGUCUGUUCCCUUGGAUUAUCGCAUUUCUUCAAGGACCAAAAGCUGUGCUGGUGAUUCAGACCCGGAGGAGAAUGUCUCUUUUAGUGGGAUGGAACAUCCACUGCCUCUGUGGGAGAGCUCUGCUUUCACCGCCUUCAUGCACCAAAUGUUUCUAAAGGGAAACUUCUGCUGUCCUGAUGCAAAGACAAGAGCUCUCCCUGCUCCAAAUCCUCUGAAACUUUUUCCUCUUCAUCCGCAAGGCAGGAGCUGGAGGCCAUGGACACCUUGGUUCAGCUGAAGUCUCCAAAUCAAAAGGAGAUAAUUAAUGGAGGAUAGAAAGCUGGGACAAAAACAAGCUGUCAAAAGAAAAAGAAGAAGUUGCUAAUGUGUCUGUCAUCCCUGUUCCCUCCUGGCCAGCCCCCAGAGGUGGGAGGCGGGCACUCCGUGUCUGAUGGAGAGAAAAGAGGGUGUUGUCAGCCUCAGCUGUCUCCAGAUAUCAGCUCUCUUCUCUUGAAGACUCAUCUUGCUGCCAGGCCACUUCCUCUGCUGUCCCCCAAACUGUUCUGGGGAGGGAUUUGCUCCACGGACGCUUUGAUGGCGGUGACUUCCCGGCACAAGCGCUUCCAGCUCGGGUUUGAUCCGCUGUGCCGCACGCCUACGAUCGAUUUGUGUCCCAGUAGUGCCUAUUUCUCUUCAUUACCCACAGACAGACAAUUCAUCAGCAGUGUGGUGAGACUGUGCAAGCUGUGGGGGAUCUCCCAGGAGCCCUUUUGCUCACGAAAUUCCAGAGCCAAGUGCUGCUGCUGGCUGGGCAAGGCAGAGUUUCAUCUCCUAUGAUUUUCCUCAGCGUGGCUCCUAUGAGUUUCCUCUGGUGGCUGGCAGUGAGGUGGUUACAAGGACAAUAUUCUGGUUUUAACCACCACAGCUCCCCUGGCUGGCCCAGUGCAAGGUGGCCACGGGCCUCCCACAGUGUAUUUAUCUGGAUUCCUGGCCUGGAAUUCAAAUUCCACACUAAGAAGGCAAUGCUCAGAAAGAGGAUGCUGUCUCCAGAGGAUGGAGAUGUUUUGCUCCUGACUCCCCAGCAGGUCUUGGCCAGUUCCUGGGGUUUAGCACACCAUGGGCUCCCCUAAAGGGUCAGGGUGGGGCAGCUGCCUUAGGAGGGUGAUAAUUAAAUGGUCACAGACAUGAUUAUCUUCUUUUUACUGCCUUAUUUCGAUGGGAAGUGGUAAUAAAUUGCACAGGUCUCUUUUUCUGAGUAAGGCUUCUCCUAGGCUGGAAAGGGGGAUCCUGUAGCAUGCAGUAAUUAAUGAAUAAACUGAAAAGCACUCCAGGAUUUCAGAAUGUCACCAAUUCCCAUGUCCAGGCUUCUCUCUGGCCAGCAGAUGUUGUGGGUUACACUGUGUAUUGUUUCCAGAAAUGCUGCAUCUGCUGCCUCCUUUGGCUUUUGGUGUUCAGCUCCUGUUUGGGCUGCUAGGAUAAGGCUGGGACAGCCAUUCCUUUCCUGUAUUCAUAGGGU
Catharus ustulatus (Swainson's thrush) is the source of this 4437-nucleotide long non-coding RNA. RefSeq lists it as uncharacterized. NCBI's taxonomy places the organism in Eukaryota, Metazoa, Chordata, Aves, Passeriformes, Turdidae. The record is from RefSeq and is a predicted model, not a curated record. The transcript has 8 exons.